UGGGGAAUAUUGCACAAUGGGCGCAAGCCUGAUGCAGCCAUGCCGCGUGUGUGAAGAAGGCCUUCGGGUUGUAAAGCACUUUCAGCGAGGAGGAAGGGUAGUGUGUUAAUAGCACAUUGCAUUGACGUUACUCGCAGAAGAAGCACCGGCUAACUCCGUGCCAGCAGCCGCGGUAAUACGGAGGGUGCAAGCGUUAAUCGGAAUUACUGGGCGUAAAGCGCACGCAGGCGGUUUGUUAAGUCAGAUGUGAAAUCCCGCGCUUAACGUGGGAACUGCAUUG
Molecule: ribosomal RNA, 280 nt
Filed under: uncultured bacterium
Lineage: Bacteria
Description: partial 16S ribosomal RNA
Rfam family: Bacterial small subunit ribosomal RNA
Source: RNAcentral